This is a long non-coding RNA of Raphanus sativus (radish), 482 nucleotides long. RefSeq lists it as uncharacterized. The record is from RefSeq and is a predicted model, not a curated record. Lineage: Eukaryota; Viridiplantae; Streptophyta; Magnoliopsida; Brassicales; Brassicaceae. The transcript is spliced from 2 exons.
UCACAAGUUUACCUAAAAACCUAAGAACUCUCUCGUACAAAAUAAAAGCCGUCUUUUUUUUUCUUUUAACUUUUCACAAUCACUGAUUUCAGAGUCGCAUUAGAUGCAUCUUCUAAACAUAUUUGUGCGCCUGUAUGAGAGAGGAUCAAAUUCCCAGUCUGUCGAUUAUGGAAGACUUUUUUCUCUUGGAUACUAACUCGACAAAGAUCACAAACCUCCCAAGAUAGCCGGUUUAUAAAAUCGGGAUUCUGUUAAUAAGGCCGGUGCGGAAAGUCACUCCAAGAUUUAAUGGAUCUGUUUAUUUGUUAUCCUCUGUUUCUGGAAUUUUUUUCUUUGUUUAGUUUAUUCUUUCUGAUAUGGUUUAACAGAGUUCGAUGUAUUAUAGAUCUUUUUUUGUAACUUAGAGCAUCUCCAAAAAAAAACUCUAUAACUUCAAAUAUAGAGUUUUUGCUCUCCAAAAAGAAACUUCAAAACUUCAAAUU